Long non-coding RNA from Oncorhynchus kisutch (coho salmon), 469 nucleotides. RefSeq lists it as uncharacterized. The record is from RefSeq and is a predicted model, not a curated record. NCBI's taxonomy places the organism in Eukaryota, Metazoa, Chordata, Actinopteri, Salmoniformes, Salmonidae. The transcript is spliced from 3 exons.
UCCUCUCAGACCCAGUCCAGAUCCGAGAGCUGCACGCUCUCAUUGACAUCGUUGGAAAGAAACACUGUGAGCUACAAAGAAACACUGUGACCUACAAAGAAACACUUGGAAGAAUGUGUUAAUUCAGUUGCCUUUGGACGCCAUGGCAAGGUCCCCAAGGGGAAGCGAGUCCUCGACCGGAAGGCCAGCGGAAUUCCAAUGAGAUUCACCUGGAGCCUCAUCAGAGAGUGGUGACUCUGAAGAGACACAAGCUGAUUGACCCUGUGGAGAACAGGAUGUGUAAGAAGCACAAAAGACUCCUGGAGCUGUUCUGUAGGAGUGACCAGAACUGUGUGUAUGUUUUGUGUGCUGAGACAGGCCACAAGUGUCACAAUACUGUGCCCAUUGAGGAGGGAGUCAAACAAAAAGGUAAGAAAUGUAUUAGAUUUAUUCAAUCAUUAUUUUCUAGAUCUCUCCUUAAAGAAAAACU